Molecule: ribosomal RNA, 728 nt
Filed under: Parachloritis argilacea
Lineage: Eukaryota; Metazoa; Mollusca; Gastropoda; Stylommatophora; Camaenidae
Description: partial 16S ribosomal RNA
Rfam family: Archaeal large subunit ribosomal RNA (bases 331-495)
Source: RNAcentral
AUGUAUAGAUUUCACGAAACUGCGUGAGCUAAUUAUUAUUAUUUAUUAUGUGGCAUAAUAAUAAUGCAAAUGAUAAUUAGGGGUGAUAGGCCUCUCAAACGUAUGAUAUCUUGAUUCUUACGAUAUGUAGUAGUACAAAGACAAUUUAAGAGUAUAAGGCUUUUAAAAGUAAUAAAUUUUUAUUAAGUUAAUAAGUUGGUUUAGUAUCCUGCAUUUAGGAUAAAAUAAUAUAAAUUACAUGUAAUUUAUUUUGAUUAGUAAGAUUCAAUAAAUUUUUAAAUAUGAUAAUAAUGUUUCCAUAAGUAUUAAGAAGCUAUUAAUAGUGAAUUCGGCAAUUUGCUUUCAACUGUUUACCAAAAACAUAGCCAUGUGUAUAUACACAUGGUGCUUUCUGCUCAAUGAUCAUUAAAUAGCCGCAGUACCCUGACUGUGCAAAGGUAGCGUAAUCAUUUGUCUUUUAAUUGGAGUCGUGUAUGAAAGAAAUAAUGGGGGCAAUCUUUACCAUAAAUAAAUUUAAAAAUUACUUAGUGGGUGCAAAUACCCACGAAUAAAAAAUAGACGAGAAGACCCUAGAAAUUUAUAAAAAUAUUUUGUUGGGGCAACAUAGUAGCAUAUAAUCUACCUUAUGUAUAUGACAAGUUAUAGAUAAAUAAAAUUACUCUAGGGAUAACAGCAUAAUUUAUAAAUGUUUGUGACCUCGAUGUUGGAUUAGGGAGUUGUUGUCUAGA